RNAcentral lists this non-coding RNA (374 nucleotides) under Tupaia belangeri chinensis (Chinese tree shrew). RNAcentral's name for it is "Tupaia chinensis (Chinese tree shrew) Eukaryotic large subunit ribosomal RNA". It matches the Rfam family "Eukaryotic large subunit ribosomal RNA", at positions 2421 to 2814 of the family's 3401-position model. Lineage: Eukaryota; Metazoa; Chordata; Mammalia; Scandentia; Tupaiidae. The record is from Rfam by way of RNAcentral.
CAUGAUUUUCGUCUGGCCUGGUGAAAAGACAUGAGAGGUGUAGAAUAAGUGAGUGGGCAGGGUCCUCCAGGUUAUGGAGGUGAGCAGGUGAAAUACCAUGAGUUAGAGUGUUUUUCACAGACUUCGUGAGGCAGAGCCUUGGGGGCAAGCCCUAAGAAGCUCUUGCUUUUGGUGUGAAAUGACUUCAGUGACCAUGCUAGAUGUAGAGUUUAAAAAGGGCAAGACAUCUGUCAAAUAGUAAUGCACUUGUCUUAAGGCAAACUCAGGGAAAAUAGAAAUCUUCCGUAGAACAGAAGGGCAAAAUUUUACUUCAUCUAGAUUUUCAGUGUGAAUACAAACCAUGAGAGCAAGGUGGAAAAAGAAUUCCAGCAAUG